This is a non-coding RNA of Cricetulus griseus (Chinese hamster), 2560 nucleotides long. The record is from RefSeq and is a predicted model, not a curated record. Lineage: Eukaryota; Metazoa; Chordata; Mammalia; Rodentia; Cricetidae.
CGGAGAAGAGCGAGUUCCACCAUGUCCGCCCGGGCCACUUUAAAUACGGACCGAGACGGAAGCUGGGCAGGACCACUCCCUGCGGUGCCUGCGGUGGUGGCUUGGACCCGCGACGCUCACAGGCCACCGUACUUUUCUCUAGUUAAAUUGUGGAAACGUCCCGGGAAUGCCGAGUUGGAGAAUUAUGAGGAGAGUUGAGUUCCAGGGGAUCCGUUGCUGUCUUCUGACCUCAGUAGACACCAGGCAUGCAUGUGGUUCACAGACAUCACAUACAAAACACCAAACACAUAAAAAAUAAAUGAAGACAUGGAAAGAAUUUAAUGCCGAGUCUUAUUCCCGCCUUCUUCCCAAGGCCUGUGGGUCGUUGCAGGAGGGAGCGGAACAACUAGAGGCAGAGGUGGUGGCUGGCUGUAGGGAAACUGUUUUCCAGACACAGUGGGGCAGUUGUUCACACAGACUCAGCAUGCACAAGACCUGCUCAAAAUCAGGCCAGACAAAAUUCUAGCAUGGGCCGGGCAUUGGUGGCGCAGCCUUUAAUCCCAGCACUCGGGAGGCAGAGGCAGGAUGAUCUCUGUGAGUUCAAGACCAGCCUGGUCUACAGAGCAAGUUCCAGGAUAGGCUCCAAAGCCACAGAGAGAACCUGUCUCGGAAACAAAACAAGAAUUGUAGCAUGGACGGGAGAAGAUGACAUGACCGUCUCACCCCCGAGGAGCCGUUGGCAGCUGAUGGCUGUUGCAAGAUCGAAAAGUGGGUUUUCUUCAGGGAUGCAUCCCUCAUACUCCACAUGGCCCUACCCUUGUAAGUGGACCUGGAGGGUUUAAAAGAAAAAGGCACAUGAAAUCUGAAGGGAAUAGUGGAGGAAUUGGAGAAGGUGAAGGGGAUGGGUUUGAUUAAUACAUUAUAUGCACAUAUGACAUUCUCAAUUUUUUAAAAAAAGUUCUUGAACUUGAACUUGUUACUGGGCUUGGUUGUGACAGCACAGGAAUAGACACGAAUGAAACCAGUUCAUCUAGCCUUUCCUUGAAACGAAGUAUUUUGGAUACUCGUCAAAACCUGAAGACCCAAGCAGUGUCUGUUGCCCUGGGAUUGCCAGGCUGAUCUGGAGCAGAAGGAAGGCACUGAGUGGAACAGGAAUGAAUCAGUGUCCCCCUGUGGACCACAUCGGUAGUGGAGUCACCUUUCAGAUCCGACAGCAGCACAGAACCACACUGACAACUCUAUGACUUGAAUUGGGGCCAGGGAUGCAGACAAGUUUGUAGACCGCUUGCCUGUCACGCACAGAGUUCUGGUUUUGAUCCCCAAUGCCACAUGAGCUGGGUAUGGAAGUAUAUGCCUGCAGUCCAAGCAUUCCCGAGAUGGAAACAGGAGGAUCCAGUGUUCAAAGUUACAUAGGGAGUUCAAGGCCAGCCAGGGAUAUAUGAGAUCCUAUCUAAAAAAUAAAAAUUAUUCUAGAGUUAUCAAAAUGUAGCAAAAAGAAAAGUUGUACUCAGAAUCUGAAUUUUGAGCCAUAGCGGAGAACUUAGAAUUACCAGCAAAGUAGCUUUCAAGUUUGUGAGCAGGAGAGGUGCCAGGCCAAGCAAGGUGUGACAGGAAAUCUGUGCAUGAUGGAAAGGACCAGUCGACUUUGCCCCAAGUGUAUGAAGCCUUCCUUGGUUGUAGAGAGCAGGGCCAGGAGGGGGACACAGCAUUUACAGUUUACUAACCAGUUCAGAUCAUCUUCUCAGAUAGUGUGGCUCCAUCUCUAGAUUCCAGGGGAUUCUAACUGCACUGGCAGUCAUGAUCUGUUCACUCACUCAAUUAGCCCUACUCUCAAGAAACAAAAUGUUACUGAUACAGUUGAAGCACUUGGCUUCCCCAGGAACAAGCCCAUUCUGCAGCUUCAAUUAUUGCCCUAGUGCUAUCCCCUCUGGAGUAUAUCAUCAAUGCAAACAUUUUAAACAAUGUAUUGUGAGCUUACACAUUUUAAAGCUAUAAAAAUGAUACCACACCCUGUAUCUUUCCACCACUUACUUUGCAUUCUCCACGCCACUCUAGAUUUUAAGAUUUAACCACACUAGAGCCAGGGAUGUAGGCCAGUAGUAGCAUACUUGGCUAGAAUGCUCAAGGUGGUCCCGGGCUCAACCCCCAGCCCUUCAAAAGACAACAUAAAAUAAGGGGCUGGAGAGAUGGCUCGGCAGUUAAGAAUGUUCUUUGUUCUCACAGAGGACCUGAGUCCAGUGCUCAGCAUCCAUAUCAGGCAGCUCAUAACUGUAAUUCCAGCUCCAGGAGAUCCAUGCAUAUGGCUUCCAAGGGCACUCACAGCAUAUAGUUUGUCACUAACCACACAGAUAUACAGACAUAUAACUAAAGAUAAUAACGUUUAAGCUGGGUGGUGGCGGCACAUGCCUUUAAUCCCAGCCCUGUCUCAAAAAGCCAAAAAUAAAGUUUUUUUCCUAUGGCUUAUUUUCAGCAUAUAACAUUCCAAACACAAAUUAUUCAUCUUUUAUUUUGUUCUUAUGCAUUUGUGCUUCCUAGCUUUUGUUUUUGCUGUUGUCAUCAAUGCUUUUAGAAAUAUUGUUCA